Molecule: long non-coding RNA, 592 nt
Organism: Melospiza melodia melodia
Lineage: Eukaryota; Metazoa; Chordata; Aves; Passeriformes; Passerellidae
Exons: 3
Source: RefSeq, a predicted model, not a curated record
UCUGACAUUCACUCAGCGAGUGAGGGUCUGCCUGGGGAGCGCCACAGAGGCAGCUAAAAUCCUUUCUGCCUAACCACCAGUCUCUCAGGGAAUAAUCGCCUUCAAGUCCGAGACAUUCCUGUGAAAGCACUGAUGAGGCCUCACCUCGAGUCCUGUGUUCAGUUUUGGGCCCCUCAUGGCAAGAAGGACACGGAGGUGUUGGACCAUGACCAAAGGAGGGCAGCAAUGCUGGUGGUGGAUCUGGAGCAAAGCCUGAUGAGGAGCAGUUCAGGAACUCAGGGUGUUUAUCUAGCCUGAAGAAAAGGAGGCUCAGGGAAGACCUCAUUGCUCUCUACAACCACCUGACUGGAGGCUGCAGCAGGGCAAGAGGACUUGGUCUUCUCCCAGGUAUGAUCAGAGGUGGCUACAUGAUGAGGAGAAUCAAAAGUCUACUCAGAAGCACACCUGAGGAGCCCCAAACCUGCUCAUCUCAAACUGCAAUAAGACAAAAGAUGAAAGUUAUUGUGAAGGAAACUGGAUUACUUGCAGAGUAUUGAUGCUCUAACAUUCAUUUUAAAAAGUCAUCUCCUUAUUUUUUAUGAUAUUUUUACUU